This 446-nucleotide ribosomal RNA is filed under the name uncultured bacterium. RNAcentral describes it as "partial 16S ribosomal RNA". It matches the Rfam family "Bacterial small subunit ribosomal RNA", at positions 338 to 795 of the family's 1533-position model. The record is from RNAcentral.
CCUACGGGACGCAGCAGUCGAGAAUCAUUCACAAUGGGGGAAACCCUGAUGGUGCGACGCCGCGUGGGGGAAUGAAGGUCUUCGGAUUGUAAACCCCUGUCAUGUGGGAGCAAAUUAAAAAGAUAGUACCACAAGAGGAAGAGACGGCUAACUCUGUGCCAGCAGCCGCGGUAAUACAGAGGUCUCAAGCGUUGUUCGGAAUCACUGGGCGUAAAGCGUGCGUAGGCUGUUUCGUAAGUCGUGUGUGAAAGGCCCGGGCUCAACCCGCGGAAGGCACAUGAUACUGGGAGACUAGAGUAAUGGAGGGGGAACCGGAAUUCUCGGUGUAGCAGGGAAAUGCGUAGAUAUCGAGAGGAACACUCGUGGCGAAGGCGGGUUCCUGGACAUUAACUGACGCUGAGGCACGAAGGCCAGGGGAGCGAAAGGGAUUAGAUACCCUGGUAGUC